Non-coding RNA from Solanum lycopersicum (tomato), 1230 nucleotides. The record is from RefSeq and is a predicted model, not a curated record. Lineage: Eukaryota; Viridiplantae; Streptophyta; Magnoliopsida; Solanales; Solanaceae.
AAUAUUCACGUGAUAACUAGUGCAUCACAUAUUUUUGUGUUGAAAUCGUUUAGGGGGUGAAAGCUUCCAAGCUAGCUAAAUAUACGAGGAUAAUUAGGAGAUAAAUUAAAUAUGAAGGGAAUAAAAGAUGUCAAAGUCUAAGAGGUCCCAAAGGAGUAUGCCUUCAUUUUUAAAAAUAUCAUAGUAGCUAGUAAUAUUAGUGUGCUAUUUUUAAAACGCUACAUCUUUUCUUAUUAUACAAGUUAUUUGAUAAAUAUUUAUUUAUAUUUAUAUAAAGAAGAGAUCAGAGUUAAGACCUCGUUGAAUAAACUUAAGGAAAAAGCAGCAUUUCGAAAAUCCAGAUGAGUUCUACUUCUACUUCAAGAUGGUUAAUGCAUAAAUUGGAGUAAGUUACUAAUAUUCAUAUAUGUUAAUUGAGCUAAUUUCUGCCUCAUUCGUGGUUGAUCUGACUUGUAAGACAUUGUUUCGAUAUUUCAAGUACACAAUCAGUUUGGAGAUAUCUACUUGAGUGUCAUUGACCUGACCAAUUGCAUUAGAUAUUAAGCUUUCUUUGGCCAUGGUUUGAAAUAACCUUAUUAUUCAGAAAAGUAAAUGAAUUAUUUGGAGAUAUCUAUUUAAUGACCAUUUAUCGAGUUUAGCUUUCUUCGUGAGUUGAAAUCUUAUCACUUGAUCUAGAUCGAACGAUUGAGCCAUGUCUAUGGAGGAUUAACGAUUUCGUCCUGUUUGUAGUGCCAUGUCUGAUGGAUGGAUGCGUACAAGCUUUAUUCACAAAUAAUAUAUAGUUGUUCUAUUGUACACUCACUGCCUUGUUUUUUAUGUUAAAAUUGGAGGAAUUCAUUUUUUGAAGCUGAGGGUAGUUUCUACUCCUUUACCCAUCGGUGGAUGAGAAAUCGCCACCAUAGUACGUAAUUUCUGGUUAACCAUGUUCCAAGAAAAAAAAGUUAAAAAGUAUCUUCAUAUCAAGAGUUCAGGUGAACAGCUGCCUAUUUGGUUUCUUUGUGUAUUGAAACUCUUAACACUUCUGUUGUAUGAGUGAAAUCUUUAGAUCUAUUGGAAUCACAUGAUUAAAGUGUACAAAAAGUAGUUAUGGCAGUAAUUAGCAAUCUGUCAAAGAAAGAGGUGAGACUGAUUGUUAGUUAGUUAUAACCAAUUAUUGUUUCAAAUGUGUGAUUUCUAUAAAUAGGAUGUGUAAUUAAUCCAUAAUAUUUUUUCCUCUUCUUCUAUCUUCCA